Molecule: unclassified non-coding RNA, 260 nt
Filed under: uncultured fungus
Lineage: Eukaryota; Fungi
Description: partial contains 5.8S rRNA and ITS2
Source: RNAcentral
AACGCACAUUGCGCCCCCUGGCAUUCCGGGGGGCAUGCCUGUCCGAGCGUCAUUGCUGCCCAUCAAGCCCGGCUUGUGUGUUGGGUCGUCGUCCCCCCCGGGGGACGGGCCCGAAAGGCAGCGGCGGCACCGUGUCCGGUCCUCGAGCGUAUGGGGCUUUGUCACCCGCUCGACCAGGGCCGGCCUGGGGCCAGCGGGCGUCUCCAACCAGUUUUCGUCAGGUUGGCCUCGGAGCAGGUAGGGAUACCCGCUGAACUUAA